Canis lupus familiaris (dog) is the source of this 5338-nucleotide long non-coding RNA. RefSeq lists it as uncharacterized. The transcript has 7 exons. The record is from RefSeq and is a predicted model, not a curated record. Lineage: Eukaryota; Metazoa; Chordata; Mammalia; Carnivora; Canidae.
CUGAGGAGUUGAGAGUUAUGAGAGCAGCAUCCCACAGAGGGGACAAAUGCAAGGCCAUUAUAGGAAAGGGUAAUAUAAGAUCUACUCACAAAUAAAGAUGAGCAUUUUGGAAAGGAUUUGGGCAUUUAAAAAAGUGAACAAUGCAUCUGGGGUUUGGUGCUGAUCUAAUUAAACUUGUGAGGCUGCAAAGGAUUCAUCCCCACCCAGUGAGAAGCAGCCAGGUUGCAGUUGCUGUGGGAACAGCGCCACCAACCAGACCAAUUUGUUAAAAACUCCUUUUGAAUUCUUACCUAUGAUAAAAUCGACUUUUUGGCUUUCCACAUCAGCCAGAGGAGGAGAACACCCAUUCCUCCAAGGAAGACCACUUGAAGUUCAGAUCUGCAAAUAUUGCACUUUGCAUCCAAGUGGAAAAGCAACCGGAGGAACUACAGGGACUACAUCUAGUUUCAUGCUCAAAAUAUAUUUGCCUAUGUAUUGACCCUAAACAAUAGCUAAUUUGUUGGCCUCGACUUGCCACUAGGGGAAAGCAAUCCAGCUUAACUCGUGUCAAGUAAAAGGCCUGGUGCUGCUCAUACUCCCCCUGGACCAUUCCUGCCCUCACAUAAACCAAUCAAUGAUGCUGAGGAACAUUCAGUAGCCAUCAAACAAGAAACACUCCGAGGAAACCAAUGAGUAGCACUUUCCCAUCUUUGCCUCAGGAACUCUGCCUCCUGGUAGAAAGGGUCCAGCAGAGUGGUGACCUGGUGACAUAUAUAUAUAUAUAUAUAUAUGUAUAUAUAUAUAUAUAUAGGCUGUGCUGUCCAUGCAGGCCCUGGCCUGUUGAGGAGUCAAGUGUUUUCAAUGAUAAUAAAGAUCAUGAAUAGUUUAAGACCUUACUGUCUAUAGAACUAUUUAAUUUCUUUUGUGAGAAGGUAAGUGAAAUUAGGAAACAAGAUAAAGUGGAAUACAAGUCAAAAUGCCCGGGGGAUACAGACUACUGUAGAUACAACGAUAAUGCAUUUGGUUUUCUUCUUUGUUUUAAUUAAAUCCAUCUAGUCUUUAUCCUCUACAGAUCUAACACUUCUUAAAAGUGAGGAUAAAAUCUCAAGUUUAGAAGGAAACUCUUGUUUUAUUGGACAUUAAGUUAAUCCUUUACUUUUUCUUAGUGACACUGUGUGAUAUUUUCUUCUGAAAAAUAGUAAGCCAUUGUUUUGUUUUAAGACACAUGAAUGCUUUUUAAUUGAUACAGUAGGAAUUCAUUUCUGAGAAGACAAAUGAUGUCAUUCUCCCUGCCCCCAAGUCUAUGCUUAUAUAAAUCUUUGCUUUCAUUGAUUUAUAUUCAUGGAGGAGUUUCUAAGAAUAAAUUUUCCUCAACUAAGUAGUGGUGGCAUUUAAGUGUCUUGAGGAUCCCACUUGAGAUUUGAGUAAAGGCUGAGGAGGAAGUUUCCAAAUUGGGGAAGAAACAACAGAUCAUGAUCUAUAGCAAUCGUGUGGUCAGCUGGCUGUUCCUAUCUAUCCAUUGAAUUAAAUAUGGGCUGAUGGAUGACACCUUUUACAUUAAAUAAAACAUGCUUUCUCCUCUCUCACCCGUAUGAGACUCAUGUAUUCUUGGCUCAGUUUUAAUUUUCCAAUGUAUUACAUUAAUAUAGGAGCUAAAGCAUGCAAAUAAUGUAGAAUAGUGGAUAAUCCCCUCAACCUAAUAGUGGUCACCAUUUAACAAGUUGGAUUUAUGUCUCUGGUAUAUGGCUUCAUUUAGUCAUUAUGCCCACUUAUGGAUGAAUGGAGGGAGAUUUGGUAAAAUUAACUCAUCUGCAAUUUUGCCCAGCUGGUUUAUGGAAUAAUUAAAACUAUGGUUCAGCCUGAGCCAAUUUAUUUCACCCCUCCUCUAUAUGAGCUGUUUAAAUUUUAUACAAAAUUCAAAUUUUGAUCUGCAUGUAUUCUUGGAAUAUCAAACAUUUCAAAGAUAGCAAUGAACUCUGUGUUAAAAGUAGAAUGAAAGACGUUGGGAUUUGAAAUCAUAAUGGGAAUUCAGAGAAGCUUUCCCACAUUCUAAUUAUGUAUCUAUCUCCCUCCUUAAAAAAAGAACUGUUCUUUGUUCUGCAUGUGAUACUGAACAGCAACUCUUGUAACCCUCAACAAAGGAAAAAAAUCCACACAUAUAUGUGUACAUACAUACACAAGGACCCAAAUUUUAUGUCUAUAAAACUCGGUAGCCCAGAUACUGUCUGAUGCCUAGCAAACCAGCAGUAGUUAACAUAGACGGUCAGUUCCAGCAGUUUCUUCUUAAAAAUAGUUAUUAAUUUUGCUUCUGAAUCUUCCACUUGUCCAGGGCUCGGAAGGGAUGGCUUAUCUUUGCUCUGCACAGCAUUAGCUGGGAUGGCUCUACUGGGGAUAGAAGAGCCACUUACUGGGUGGCGGGCAGUUCAGUGUUGAAGUGGGACAGUUUGGUCACUCAUGGCUGGAAGCUGGGGUAUAGCACUUCUUUGCAUGCGCCUCUCCAUGUGAGCAUCUCCCUGUAGGCUUUGGCUUCUUCACAAUCUGGUGACUUGGAUACAGGUGUGCAUAUUCUAGGAAAACCAGACAGAAGCUAUGCCAAACUUUAGACCCAUCCUCAAAAGUCACACAGCACCAUUUCUGUUGCCAUUACCCUGUAGCUAUAAGACGCUACCUGAGUGGACAGAAGCAUGUGCAAAUAAAAUUAAAUAAGCAUUUCUGCCACCCUUUCUGAUUGAGCUUUAAAUAAGGAAAUAAAAGCAGCACUAUCCACAGACAAUCGAAGAUUGGCUUUAUGUUCAACCUGAGCACUCUUAUAAAAUCAAGUUCUCCCUGGGUACACAUCUAGAAGUGUAUAUGUUUUAGAAGCAUCUAGUUGGAAGUUGCAAACCUUUAUGUUCCCAACAGUACAUGUGUUACUUCUCUAAGGAAUAUGCCUGGUGGACUGUAAGACUUUUACUUCUGCAAAUGUUACUUAAAAUUAUAAUUUUUCUUUUCAGGACAGCACUGAACUGAUUUCACACUGAUUUCAUUAUGCUCCACUUAGCACCCGACACACUGCCUUGCACACCUGGGUGCUUAAUAAUGUGAUUCGAUGAUGAAUUCCUAUUAUAAACCCUUCAUGGGAUUCAAAAACAUUUCACUGUAUGAUUUGGGUUACAGUACUUGACUGAAGUCCUUUUUUCCCCUUUUAUUCAUUUAAUACAUAUUUAUUGAGGAUUUCCAAGGUCAUAGUUUUUAAUUAUUGGCUUUGGGAGUAAAAUAGAGGGAAUCUAAUAAAUGCCUGAUUUUUUUGAAAUUAUAUAAGGUCCAGGGCAGAUGAUAUAAUUUAAAUCUAUUUAUAUAACUUAGAUAUAUACAAGGCUGUGCAUAAAGGCCAUACCCUUGUCCUUUGAGGGAAGGGGCAGUGUGUUUAUGUCACUUUGGAAUGUAAGAUAAUUACACAAAUGGUCAAUUCAGCAAGUACUGCCAUAUAAAUAGCCAAAUGUCUCCUACGAAUAUCCUUUUACCUCCGUCUCAAAGAGUGUAUUAUGUUUCUCUGGUUAGAGUUCUGUUUUAUGUGUGCAUUUUUAAAUUCUGAAAUACAUGUUUAGAAUAUAAACUUAUUGUGAUACUUAUUGUGACCCCUUGGACAACUUUAAUUUUCUUCAUUUAUCUAUUUAAAAUGGAUUUGGGCCACAAACAAACAGAUGUUAGAUGCUUAGGAAAGAAAUGUAUGUGUGUUUAAAUAUCUAUCCUUGCUGUUUUAAAUACAUACUUUGCCAACAUUACAUGCAGACCAAUCACACUGAGGCCACUGAGAGUGAAUGACUGUUAUAAAUUAUUCUCUCGUCUGUGAUGAUUUUCUGGUGCCACGUGGAAUCACAUGGAGAAUGCAUAACCUGGAAGCAGUAAGGUUACAUUUCUUUAGUUAUAGAUUGAAUAUUUCCAUUUGUUACAAUCUCACUGACACUUAUUCUUUCUCUGGUCCCCAAGUCAGUGUUAUAUUUUGAAUUUCUAAUGGAAUGAAGGUGUAGACCUUACUCAUUCUCCCAAGGGUCGCUGCCUUUAAUUUCCAAGAGGAGGAGUGUAUGGCAGUUCCACCCUAAACUGUCGACCUGCCAGCAGCCAGCUAACUGGAAUUGUUCUUCAGAUACAAGCAAAGUUCAAAUCUGUUUGAUUUCAUAAUGAUCCACUUCAACUUGAAAUGAUAGGAUUAGAGCCUGGAUUUUAUAGUGUAGUUAAUUUUUUCAUAAAAUGUGUUACUGAAACUUCUGUUGUUGUUGCUGUAUGUCAAAUUGCCUACUGCUGUAGUAAACAACCCACAUGAACUGACAAGGUCUCCUGCCUUUGAUGGAAACACAAGGUCUUGGGAGAAAUUAACCAGGUUAAAGGGAUUGUUAUCAGAGUGAUAGUUAAAUUUUGAGGAAAUGGGUGUGCCGACAUUUAAGACAUGAAAAAAAAUAGAGGUUCUUAUAAUGUUUAUCUCUUGUACUUAAUAAAUUACCAUAAAGCUAAGAAGUAUUUGUAGAGCAGCGAGGGAUCCAUUCAUCCCUUUCUUUCUUUUCUAGUUCUAACUGUCCCUAUUUCUUUUUAAUCCUUCCAAUGGAUGAGCUAAUGAUCCUAUUGGUUUCAGCCUUUCUUCCUCUCUCGAAGAAAUCAUACACCACCAACAUCCACAAGGAAUUCCUUACACUUAUCACAGUCUAUUUUAAAAUAGUUGGCAAUAAAUAUACCAGACAUCUAACUUACUUCCUAAUGGUUUAGAAUUGAAAAGGAAACCGUAUUGACUCACUGACCUUGUAUAACUCCUGGAGAUCUUUAGCAUGAGAUAUUUGAAAAAUAUUAAUUCACUGUUGCCAGGUAACAUCAGACACAGUCAGUCAUCUAACCCUGGAGGAACUGACCAAAAUUAAAAAAUAUAUUUAAAAUCCUACCCUUCUCUCCAAAGAGUAAUUAGUGUGCCAGAGUAUACAUUGGUAUUUAUUUUCACACAAGCUGUUUUCCUUAAACUGUUUUAUAUUUUCUUAUAAAUAAUUAUAAUUCUUAGGAGAUAUGCUAACCAGUUUGAGUAUAAAUUCUGUGUAAAUAACCCCUUGUAUUAAUUUUUCAAUUUCUAACUUUUAGACAACAAUGAUUUAAAAAAAUGGUUUUAAAAGUUAUUGAAUAAACCAAUAAUCUGGAAAAUUUCCUGUUGCUUUUAUUUCAGACUUAGGUUCUAUGUAUGAGAAAGUAACUAGUUUGUGCUUAAAAAGUAUUGGAGAACAGUGGUCUCUUGGUCUCUCAGUGAAGUCAAUCAAUAACUUCUUUGAGAACUGCAAGCUUGCAGGUUAUUCCAAUCAGGACUGUUGUGAGAUGUAAAGUCAGAGGAAGUGUCCAGAUUUGA